UAGUCAUAUGCUUGUCUCAAAGAUUAAGCCAUGCAUGUCUAAGUAUAAGCUUGUUUAUACGGCGAGACUGCGGAUGGCUCAUUAAAUCAGUUAUAGUUUAUUUGAUGGUCUCUUUUGUCUUUUUUUACCUACUUGGAUAACCGUGGUAAUUCUAGAGCUAAUACAUGCGCAAGGUCCCGAGCGCGGGGGGCAGGGCUUCACGGCCCUGUUCUCGCAUGCGCAGAGGGAUGUAUUUAUUAGGUUAAAAACCAGCGGGUAGGCCAGCAAUGGUCUAUCA
RNAcentral lists this ribosomal RNA (277 nucleotides) under uncultured eukaryote. Its description in RNAcentral is "partial 18S ribosomal RNA". It matches the Rfam family "Eukaryotic small subunit ribosomal RNA", at positions 21 to 253 of the family's 1831-position model. The record is from RNAcentral.